Molecule: ribosomal RNA, 496 nt
Filed under: uncultured bacterium
Lineage: Bacteria
Description: bacterial SSU rRNA
Rfam family: Bacterial small subunit ribosomal RNA
Source: RNAcentral
ACUCAAAUGAAUUGACGGGGGCCCGCACAAGCGGUGGAGCAUGUGGAUUAAUUCGAUGCAACGCGAAGAACCUUACCUAGGCUUGACAUGUGAGUGAUCGGUAUAGAGAUAUAUCUUCCCUUCGGGGCACUCAACACAGGUGGUGCAUGGUUGUCGUCAGCUCGUGUCGUGAGAUGUUGGGUUAAGUCCCGCAACGAGCGCAACCCUUAUCUUUAGUUGCCAGCAUUUAGUUGGGCACUCUAGAGAGACUGCCGUGGACAACACGGAGGAAGGUGGGGAUGAUGUCAAAUCAUCAUGCCCCUUACGCCUAGGGCUUCACACGUGCUACAAUGGUCUCUACAAAGUGAUGCAAGACAGUGAUGUGGAGCGAACCACAAAAAGAGACCCCAGUUCGGAUUGUAGGCUGCAACUCGCCUGCAUGAAGGUGGAAUCGCUAGUAAUCGCGAAUCAGCAUGUCGCGGUGAAUACGUUCCCGGGCCUUGUACACACCGCCCGU